Molecule: ribosomal RNA, 84 nt
Filed under: uncultured bacterium
Lineage: Bacteria
Description: partial 16S ribosomal RNA
Source: RNAcentral
CUGUCGGCAGGAACGAUGAGCAAGUUGGCUAAUAUCCAACGUGCCUGACGGUACCUGCAAAGGAAGCACCGGCUAACUCUGUGC